This 249-nucleotide ribosomal RNA is filed under the name uncultured bacterium. RNAcentral's name for it is "partial 16S ribosomal RNA". It matches the Rfam family "Bacterial small subunit ribosomal RNA", at positions 1243 to 1500 of the family's 1533-position model. The record is from RNAcentral.
AGAGAAGCGAUGCGGCGACGCAGAGCGGAACUUCAAAGCCUGUCUCAGUUCGGAUUGGAGUCUGNAACCCGACUCCGUGAAGCUGGAUUCGCUAGUAAUCGCGCAUCAGCCAUGGCGCGGUGAAUACGUUCCCGGGCCUUGUACACACCGCCCGUCAAGCCAUGGAAGCCGGGGGUGCCUGAAGUGUGCAGCCGCAAGGAGCGCCCUAAGGUAAAACCGGUGACUGGGGCUAAGUCGUAACAAGGUAUC